AUCAUGGCUCAGAUUGAACGCUGGCGGCAGGCCUAACACAUGCAAGUCGAACGGUAACAGGAAGAAGCUUGCUUCUUUGCUGACGAGUGGCGGACGGGUGAGUAAUGUCUGGGAAACUGCCUGAUGGAGGGGGAUAACUACUGGAAACGGUAGCUAAUACCGCAUAACGUCGCAAGACCAAAGAGGGGGACCUUCGGGCCUCUUGCCAUCGGAUGUGCCCAGAUGGGAUUAGCUAGUAGGUGGGGUAACGGCUCACCUAGGCGACGAUCCCUAGCUGGUCUGAGAGGAUGACCAGCCACACUGGAACUGAGACACGGUCCAGACUCCUACGGGAGGCAGCAGUGGGGAAUAUUGCACAAUGGGCGCAAGCCUGAUGCAGCCAUGCCGCGUGUAUGAAGAAGGCCUUCGGGUUGUAAAGUACUUUCAGCGGG
RNAcentral lists this ribosomal RNA (431 nucleotides) under Escherichia coli. RNAcentral describes it as "bacterial SSU rRNA". It matches the Rfam family "Bacterial small subunit ribosomal RNA", at positions 16 to 443 of the family's 1533-position model. Lineage: Bacteria; Pseudomonadati; Pseudomonadota; Gammaproteobacteria; Enterobacterales; Enterobacteriaceae. The record is from RNAcentral.